AGAGUUAAAUAGUACGUGAAAUUGCUAAAAGGGAAACGUUUGGAAUUAGUGUUGUUGCUGGCAAAUCAGUCAUUCGGAGCGAUUCGGAUGGUGCACUUUGUCAGUGGCAGGUCAACAUCAGUUUGCGCGCAACGUAAAAUAGCCGGGGAAGGUAGCUGCUUGCAGUGUUAUAGACCCGGUGAAUGCGUUGUGUCAGACUGAGGUCUGCAGCCAACUCCUUUCGAGGGGCUGGGGAACGCGUCGCUGGCGUUGGAUCCGUGUUAGACAGCUUGCUGACUGACUCGAGAUCCCAACACCAAUCGGCGUGCUUACCACACGUUUGGCUUAGGUCGCUGACUUAAUGGUCUUAAAUGACC
Molecule: ribosomal RNA, 356 nt
Filed under: uncultured fungus
Lineage: Eukaryota; Fungi
Description: eukaryotic LSU rRNA
Source: RNAcentral